CCUACGGGAGGCAGCAGUGAGGAAUAUUGGUCAAUGGGCGAGAGCCUGAACCAGCCAAGUCGCGUGAGGGAGUACUGCCCUAUGGGUUGUAAACCUCUUUUGUCGGGGAGCAAAAGCCGGACGUGUCCGGCUGUGAGAGUACCCGAAGAAAAAGCCUCGGCUAACUCCGUGCCAGCAGCCGCGGUAAUACGGAGGAUGCGAGCGUUAUCCGGAUUUAUUGGGUUUAAAGGGUGCGCAGGCGGAUUUUUAAGUCAGCGGUAAAAUCGUGGGGCUCAACCCCAUCCAGUCGUUGAAACUGGGGAUCUAGAGUGUGCGAGAGGUAUGCGGAAUGCGUGGUGUAGCGGUGAAAUGCAUAGAUAUCACGCAGAACCCCGAUUGCGAAGGCAGCAUACCGGUGCACAACUGACGCUCAGGCACGAAAGCGUGGGUAUCGAACAGGAUUAGAUACCCGUGUAGUC
Molecule: ribosomal RNA, 458 nt
Filed under: uncultured bacterium
Lineage: Bacteria
Description: partial 16S ribosomal RNA
Rfam family: Bacterial small subunit ribosomal RNA
Source: RNAcentral